AAGACUAUACACCCGUAUCUUUCCAAAUAGGAAAUAUUACAUAUUCCCAAUAGUAGAUCUCUCUCUGGCGGAGACCUUAGAUUGAUCUUCGGAAUUUUAGGGUGGAGGAAUUGCGCCCUUUCCCAUUCCCGUGCUGUUUUGAUAGCUCUAGUUAGAGUUUCCCAUUCCAGUGACAAUCUACAAUCUUAUGGUUUCAUAAGUAAAUAGAAAAUAAGACAUUAAAUUAAUAAAUUAUAUUAAAGGGUAAUUCAAUUUACCAUUCUUUUUAAAAUUUAAUAUAUAUAUAUAUAUAUGCGAAUGCUAGAUUUUCCUUUUCUCCAAAAUCAUAAUAAACAUUUGAGCCACGCGGUACCUUACCGUGACAACUUUAAAGCGCCCCUCCAGAAUGAGCAGAUCUACAAUAA
This 404-nucleotide long non-coding RNA is filed under the name Brassica rapa (field mustard). Its description in RNAcentral is "long non-coding RNA (BRAP_LNC002139)". The record is from RNAcentral. Lineage: Eukaryota; Viridiplantae; Streptophyta; Magnoliopsida; Brassicales; Brassicaceae.